UGAGGAACAUGACCUUCGGCGGGGGAUAGCCGGCCCAACGGCCGGGUAAUACCGCGUACGACCACAUGGGGACAUCCCUGAGUGGUGAAAGCAGCAAUGCGCCGAUGGAGUGCCUCGCGGCCUAUCAGCUAGUUGGUGGGGUAACGGCCCACCAAGGCGACGACGGGUAGCUGGUCUGAGAGGAUAGCCAGCCACAUUGGGACUGAGACACGGCCCAGACUCCUACGGGAGCAG
This 234-nucleotide ribosomal RNA is filed under the name uncultured bacterium. RNAcentral describes it as "partial 16S ribosomal RNA". It matches the Rfam family "Bacterial small subunit ribosomal RNA", at positions 118 to 347 of the family's 1533-position model. The record is from RNAcentral.